GACGAACGCUGGCGGCGUGCUUAACGCAUGCAAGUCGAGCGGUAAGGCCUCUUCCGGGGUACUCGAGCGGCGCACGGGUGAGUAACACGUGGGUGACCUGCCCUCAGCUCUGGGAUAAGCCUGGGAAACUGGGUCUAAUGCCGGCUAUGACCUUCCCUCGCAUGGGGUUUGGUGGAAAGUUUUUUCGGCUGGGGAUGGGCCCGCGGCCUAUCAGCCUGUUGGUGGGGUGAUGGCCUACCAAGGCGACGACCGGUAGCCGGCCUUAGAGGGCGACCGGGCAGACUGGGACAGAGGCACGGCCCGGACUCCUACGGGGAGGAGCAGUGGGGCAUGUUGCGCAAUGGGCGGAAGCAUGAUGCAGCGGCGCCGGGUGGGGGAUAGCGGCCUUCGGGUUGUUAAUCUCUUUCGACCCCGGCGAAUUUGGACGGUGGGGGUAAAAGAAGCACCGGCCAACUACGUG
This 460-nucleotide ribosomal RNA is filed under the name uncultured bacterium. RNAcentral's name for it is "partial 16S ribosomal RNA". It matches the Rfam family "Bacterial small subunit ribosomal RNA", at positions 28 to 507 of the family's 1533-position model. The record is from RNAcentral.